UACAGAGGGUGCAAGCGUUGUUCGGAAUUAUUGGGCGUAAAGGGAGUGUAGGCGGUUGGGAAAGUCUUCUGUGAAAUCUACGGGCUCAGCCUGUAACGUGCAGAGGAAACUACUCGGCUUGAGUGUCGGAGAGGAUAGGGGAAUACCCGGUGUAGAGGUGAAAUUCGUAGAGAUCGGGUGGAACACCAGUGGCGAAGGCGCCUGUCUGGCUGACAACCGACGCUGAGACUCGAAAGCAUGGGGAGCAAACAGG
This 253-nucleotide ribosomal RNA is filed under the name uncultured bacterium. RNAcentral's name for it is "partial 16S ribosomal RNA". It matches the Rfam family "Bacterial small subunit ribosomal RNA", at positions 524 to 776 of the family's 1533-position model. The record is from RNAcentral.